This 241-nucleotide non-coding RNA is filed under the name Neomoorella thermoacetica. RNAcentral describes it as "Moorella thermoacetica T-box sequence". It matches the Rfam family "T-box leader". From Rfam's summary of the family: Uncharged tRNA acts as the effector for transcription antitermination of genes in the T-box leader family. T-boxes are found upstream of many aminoacyl-tRNA synthetase genes and some amino acid biosynthetic genes usually in Gram-positive bacteria. The anticodon of a specific tRNA base pairs to a specifier sequence within the T-box motif, and the NCCA acceptor tail of the tRNA base pairs to a conserved bulge in the T-box antiterminator hairpin. Lineage: Bacteria; Bacillati; Bacillota; Clostridia; Neomoorellales; Neomoorellaceae. The record is from RNAcentral.
AUAACUGCGAUGAGCGGGAGAGUAAGCGUACCGUAAAUCCCCAGAGAGGGGCCAUCAGCGGCUGGAAGUGGUCCUGGAUAGCGGGCGCUGAAAUGCACCCGUUAGCUGCAGGGCUGAAAUUCAAGAAAAGGAAAAGUAGGCCCUGCCGGCAGGCCCCGUUACGGCCCGGGAAGUUAUUGCCCGUUGAGUGGAGGAGUAAUCCUCAAACAGGGUGGAACCGCGAGAGCCCCUCGUCCCUGAC